This 327-nucleotide RNase P RNA is filed under the name Candidatus Neoanaerotignum tabaqchaliae. Its description in RNAcentral is "Bacterial RNase P class A". It matches the Rfam family "Bacterial RNase P class A". Rfam says of the family: Ribonuclease P (RNase P) is a ubiquitous endoribonuclease, found in archaea, bacteria and eukarya as well as chloroplasts and mitochondria. Its best characterised activity is the generation of mature 5'-ends of tRNAs by cleaving the 5'-leader elements of precursor-tRNAs. Lineage: Bacteria; Bacillati; Bacillota; Clostridia. The record is from RNAcentral.
AGCAGGCCAGAUGGUCGCCCUUAUUAUGGGGAGGAAAGUCCGGGCUUCGCAGAGCAGGGUGCCGGUUAACGGCCGGUGAAGGCGACUUCAAGGAAAGUGCAACAGAAAUAAACCGCCCGUUUUUGCGGGUAAGGGUGGAAAGGUGAGGUAAAAGCUCACCGCUCUUCUGGUAACAGAGGAGGCUCUGUAAACCCCACCUGAAGCAAGGCUUGACUAAAGCUAUGGGGCUGCUCGUCCCGCUUUGAUAUAGCCGCAUGAUGAUGUCGGCGACGACAUACCAAGAUAGAUGACCGUCUAAUACAGAACCCGGCUUAUAGGUCUGCUCAU